Molecule: ribosomal RNA, 252 nt
Filed under: Triticum aestivum (bread wheat)
Lineage: Eukaryota; Viridiplantae; Streptophyta; Magnoliopsida; Poales; Poaceae
Description: partial small subunit ribosomal RNA
Source: RNAcentral
AUGGAGACGAUGGCGGCGAACGGCGGUGGGAAGGGCCGGGCGGCGGCGAGAUACGGGGACAGGGAGCAGCAGGGCGCGCGCCGCUUCCAGAUGCCGCUGCACUACCCGAGGUACACCAGGGCCAACUACGAGGCCAUGCCCGAGUGGCAGCUCGACCGCCUCCUCUCCGACUACGGCCUCCCCGUCCACGGCAGCGUCCACCAGAAGCGCAGCUUCGCCAUGGGCGCCUUCCUCUGGGGCGCCGGCAACUGA